Micropterus dolomieu (smallmouth bass) is the source of this 779-nucleotide long non-coding RNA. RefSeq lists it as uncharacterized. Lineage: Eukaryota; Metazoa; Chordata; Actinopteri; Centrarchiformes; Centrarchidae. The record is from RefSeq and is a predicted model, not a curated record. The transcript is spliced from 3 exons.
UGCUGCGCACCCAGGGCAUCGAGCAUAGUGCCCGUUCCGGGUGGAUUCUGGGCUAACCCACACCAAGUUCGGCUAAAUAAUUAUGUAAUUUCUUGGGAAAAUACAAGAAGCAAAUGACGAAACGAGCCUCUACAACUAUAGUACUGAGCAGGACAGUGAAAACACAUAUUUUGAGGACAACGCGGGGGAGUGAAAACUUAGAGGAACUGCUUUUCUGUCAGCAGGAAAGCUAGCUAAGCUAACGCAGCUAAAGUGAUAGCGGCACACUUGUGAGCACUCAUUUUCUGAAUGAACAAUUACAACAUGAACAUAGCCCUGGAUUUUUAUUGUGGCGGUGCAUGCUUCUUCACAGAGGAAGACCAGAACUAACAGUGAUGAAUGUUCGGACAGCCUACUCUAUUAACUUGUUAAGGUUCUGGGCCUGGAAGAGUGAGCUCUGAAGUCACUGCCAUCACAGCCUGGUACUAGAUCCAACAUGAGAAAGGUCGGAACAUGAAGUAAUGCUGCAGGGACAUGCAGCGUGUGAUUUGGCUCUGCAAACCUUCAGAGAACAGCCCCAUGUGCAAAGGGAGUCUACUGCACUUUUGAAUCAUUUCUUGGUACAUCGUGUGUGCUCUCGUAGUGCAGUCUUCUUUUGAUGACCCCUUGAAGCUUCUACCUUGUGUGCAAGAUGAAGAUGUGCAUGAGGGAGAAAAAGUGUCGAUCAGAGAGAAAAAGUGUUAAGAGCUCAUUCCAAGCAUUCUGUGUGUGAAGUAUUUUAAUAAACAUUUAGCUAAUUU